UUCCAGACUCCUACGGGAGGCAGCAGUGGGGGAUAUUGCACAAUGGGGGGAACCCUGAUGCAGCGACGCCGCGUGGGUGAAGGAGUGCUUCGGCAUGUAAAGCCCUAUCGGCAGGGAAGAAGCAAGACGGUACCUGACUAAGAAGCCCCGGCUAACUACGUGCCAGCAGCCGCGGUAAUACGUAGGGGGCAAGCGUUAUCCGGAUUUACUGGGUGUAAAGGGAGCGUAGACGGCUAGUCAAGUCAGAAGUGAAAGCCCAGGGCUCAACCUUGGGACUGCUUUUGAAACUGAGUAGCUAGAGUGCAGGAGAGGUAAGCGGAAUUCCUAGUGUAGCGGUGAAAUGCGUAGAUAUUAGGAGGAACACCAGUGGCGAAGGCGGCUUACUGGACUGUAACUGACGUUGAGGCUCGAAAGCGUGGGGAGCAAACAGGAUUAGAUACCCGAGUA
Molecule: ribosomal RNA, 447 nt
Filed under: uncultured bacterium
Lineage: Bacteria
Description: bacterial SSU rRNA
Rfam family: Bacterial small subunit ribosomal RNA
Source: RNAcentral